GAUGAACGCUGGCGGCGUGCCUAAUACAUGCAAGUCGAGCGAACAGAUAAGGAGCUUGCUCCUUUGACGUUAGCGGCGGACGGGUGAGUAACACGUGGGUAACCUACCUAUAAGACUGGGAUAACUUCGGGAAACCGGAGCUAAUACCGGAUAAUAUUUCGAACCGCAUGGUUCGAUAGUGAAAGAUGGUUUUGCUAUCACUUAUAGAUGGACCCGCGCCGUAUUAGCUAGUUAGUAAGGUAACGGCUUACCAAGGCGACGAUACGUAGCCGACCUGAGAGGGUGAUCGGCCACACUGGAACUGAGACACGGUCCAGACCCCUACGGGAGGCAGCAGUAGGGAAUCUUCCGCAAUGGGCGAAAGCCUGACGGAGCAACGCCGCGUGAGUGAUGAAGGUCUUCGGAUCGUAAAACUCUGUUAUUAGGGAAGAACAUACGUGUAAGUAACUGUGCACGUCUUGACGGUACCUAAUCAGAAAGCCACGGCUAACUACGUG
This 497-nucleotide ribosomal RNA is filed under the name uncultured bacterium. Its description in RNAcentral is "partial 16S ribosomal RNA". It matches the Rfam family "Bacterial small subunit ribosomal RNA", at positions 28 to 507 of the family's 1533-position model. The record is from RNAcentral.